RNAcentral lists this transfer RNA (74 nucleotides) under Planctomycetota bacterium. RNAcentral's name for it is "Planctomycetes bacterium (bioreactor metagenome) tRNA-Ile". It matches the Rfam family "tRNA". Rfam says of the family: Transfer RNA (tRNA) molecules are approximately 80 nucleotides in length. Their secondary structure includes four short double-helical elements and three loops (D, anti-codon, and T loops). The record is from RNAcentral. Lineage: Bacteria; Pseudomonadati; Planctomycetota.
GGGUCCUUAGCUCAAUCGGUCAGAGCCGCGGACUCAUAAUCUGCUGGUUGCGGGUUCGAGUCCCGCAGGACCCA